This 468-nucleotide ribosomal RNA is filed under the name uncultured bacterium. RNAcentral describes it as "partial 16S ribosomal RNA". It matches the Rfam family "Bacterial small subunit ribosomal RNA", at positions 28 to 507 of the family's 1533-position model. The record is from RNAcentral.
GACGAACGCUGGCGGCGGGCUUAACACAUGCAAGUCGAACGGAAGGGCCCUGCUUGCGUGGGGUGCUCGAGUGGCGAACGGGGGAGUAACACGUGAGUAACCUGCCCUAGACUUUGGGAUAACUUCAGGAAACUGGGGCUAAUACCGUAUAGCAGCCCCCGCUGCAGGGUGGGGGUUGGAAAGUCUCGGCGGUUGGGGCUGGACGCGCGGCUUAUGGGCUUGUUGGUGGGGUAGUGGCAGACCAAGGCUUUGACGGGUAGCCGGCCUGGGAGGGUGACCGGCCUCCUUGGUACUACGAUACGGAGCAGUCGGCAAUGUUGGACAGUAGUGGCGAAUCUUGCCCAGUGGGCCCACGCCUGUUACGGCAGCGCUGCGUGCGGAAUGACCGCCUUCUGGUUAUGAACCGCAUUAGGCUAUGACGACGCGUUUGUGACGGUACUGAGUAAAUAAGCACCGGCUAACUACGUG